GUACACGCUGUGACUAGCAUAUCAAUAAGCGGAGGAAAAGAAACUAACAAGGAUUCCCCUAGUAACGGCGAGUGAAGCGGGAAGAGCUCAAAUUUGAAAUCUUAAAGGGUUUCCCUUUACGAAUUGUAGUUUAAAGAAGUGUUUUCUGUUGAGGUUUUGGUAAAAGUUCUUUGGAAUAGGACAUCAUGGAGGGUGAGAAUCCCGUAUUUGACCUUUACUUUCAACUUUGUGAUACACUUUCAAAGAGUCGGAUUGUUUGGGAAUGCAGUCCAAAAUGGGUGGUAAAUCUCAUCUGAAGCUAAAUAUUGGCGAGAGACCGAUAGCGAACAAGUACCGUGAGGGAAAGAUGAAAAGAACUUUGAAAAGAGAGUUAAACAGUACGUGAAAUUGUCAAAAGGGAAGCGUUUGACACCAGUGUUGUUUUUCUGAAAAUCAAUUAAAGAACUGUUUAUGCUAAGCUGUUUAGACUUUAUCAGCUAUCUGUUUAGUUUUGAGCUUUUCUUUAAUGCACUUUUCAGUUAACAAGUCAACAUCAAUUUCUUUUGCUGUAAAAAAGCUUGAGGAAGGUGGCUUGAGAUUCGUCUUAAGUGUUUAUAGCCUCUUGCCUAUGCAGUCGGAGAGAUUGAGGUCUGCAGCGUAGAUCCUUCGGGGCUAAAUGCAUUUGUGCUAAGUUAUAGCACUUUAUAGACAACUUGUUGACUAUGAUUUGUCUUGUAGCUUACUCGCUUAUGUUAUUUUACCUACGCUUAGGAUGUUGAUAUGCAUGACUGAUAU
Molecule: ribosomal RNA, 774 nt
Filed under: uncultured Neocallimastigales
Lineage: Eukaryota; Fungi; Neocallimastigomycota; Neocallimastigomycetes; Neocallimastigales
Description: partial large subunit ribosomal RNA
Rfam family: Eukaryotic large subunit ribosomal RNA
Source: RNAcentral